Nothoprocta perdicaria is the source of this 145-nucleotide small nucleolar RNA. Lineage: Eukaryota; Metazoa; Chordata; Aves; Tinamiformes; Tinamidae. The record is from Ensembl.
CUGCAUGUUAAGAGAAAACGUCAUUCUGCUCCUCGUUCCCUUAAGGAGCAUGAAUAUCUAUAUAACAUGCUAGAGAAAACAAGGAGUCUUCAGGGCCGCCAGUCUUGCAGAAGAGGCUGAGUGGUAGUAUAUGUCUCCUACAUAU